This 299-nucleotide ribosomal RNA is filed under the name uncultured bacterium. RNAcentral's name for it is "partial 16S ribosomal RNA". It matches the Rfam family "Bacterial small subunit ribosomal RNA", at positions 355 to 646 of the family's 1533-position model. The record is from RNAcentral.
UAGGGAAUCUUCCACAAUGGACGCAAGUCUGAUGGAGCAACGCCGCGUGAGUGAAGAAGGUUUUCGGACCGUAAAGCUCUGUUGUUGGUGAAGAAGGAUAGAGGUAGUAACUGGCCUUUAUUUGACGGUAAUCAACCAGAAAGUCACGGCUAACUACGUGCCAGCAGCCGCGGUAAUACGUAGGUGGCAAGCGUUGUCCGGAUUUAUUGGGCGUAAAGCGAGCGCAGGCGGAAGAAUAAGUCUGAUGUGAAAGCCCUCGGCUUAACCGAGGAAUUGCAUCGGAAACUGUUUUUCUUGAG